UGGGGAAUCUUGCACAAUGGGCGCAAGCCUGAUCCAGCCAUGCCGCGUGGAUGAUGAAGGCCUUAGGGUUGUAAAAUCCUUUCGCCGAGGACGAUAAUGACGGUACUCGGAGAAGAAGCUCCGGCUAACUUCGUGCCAGCAGCCGCGGUAAUACGAAGGGGGCUAGCGUUGUUCGGAUUUACUGGGCGUAAAGCGCGUGUAGGCGGGUCGUUAAGUUGGGGGUGAAAUCCCGAGGCUCAACCUCGGAACUGCCUUCAAAACUGGCGACCUGGACCUAAGUAGAGGCAAGUGGAAUUGCGAGUGUAGAGGUGAAAUUCGUAGAUAUUCGCAGGAACACCAGUGGCGAAGGCGACUCACUGGACGUGUAUUGACGCUGAGGUACGAAAGCGUGGGGAGCAAACAGGAUUAGAUACCCCCGUAGUCCCUGAGCGGGCUGGCAAGGCGCAU
RNAcentral lists this ribosomal RNA (447 nucleotides) under uncultured bacterium. Its description in RNAcentral is "bacterial SSU rRNA". It matches the Rfam family "Bacterial small subunit ribosomal RNA", at positions 355 to 825 of the family's 1533-position model. The record is from RNAcentral.